UUGUUGCCUCGGCGGAUCAGCCCGCUCCCGGUAAAACGGGACGGCCCGCCAGAGGACCCCUAAACUCUGUUUCUAUAUGUAACUUCUGAGUAAAACCAUAAAUAAAUCAAAACUUUCAACAACGGAUCUCUUGGUUCUGGCAUCGAUGAAGAACGCAGCAAAAUGCGAUAAGUAAUGUGAAUUGCAGAAUUCAGUGAAUCAUCGAAUCUUUGAACGCACAUUGCGCCCGCCAGUAUUCUGGCGGGCAUGCCUGUUCGAGCGUCAUUUCAACCCUCAAGCACAGCUUGGUGUUGGGACUCGCGUUAAUUCGCGUUCCCCAAAUUGAUUGGCGGUCACGUCGAGCUUCCAUAGCGUAGUAGUAAAACCCUCGUUACUGGUAAUCGUCGCGGCCACGCCGUUAAACCCCAACUUCUGAAUGUUGACCUCGGAUCAGGUAGGAAUACCCGCUGAACUUAAGAUA
Molecule: ribosomal RNA, 460 nt
Filed under: Fusarium sp. X9
Lineage: Eukaryota; Fungi; Ascomycota; Sordariomycetes; Hypocreales; Nectriaceae
Description: eukaryotic LSU rRNA
Rfam family: 5.8S ribosomal RNA (bases 111-264)
Source: RNAcentral